This is a long non-coding RNA of Fukomys damarensis (Damara mole-rat), 2279 nucleotides long. RefSeq lists it as uncharacterized. The transcript has 4 exons. The record is from RefSeq and is a predicted model, not a curated record. NCBI's taxonomy places the organism in Eukaryota, Metazoa, Chordata, Mammalia, Rodentia, Bathyergidae.
UAACGUCAAACUGUUACAACUGGGUUCUUUAUUUCUAAUAACACAAACUCAUUUUUUUAUAGACAGAGAUUUACUUUGGGACCCCAGGACUUCAUUCUAAUGGUGAUGCUUGAUUUUGCUCUCCCUCUCCAUUUCAGCAGCUGUUGAUUCAGGAAACUUCGUAGCUCUUCAGCACACAGCUCUCUGUCUCUCUGUUUUCACAUACAGAUGCUCCUUGACUUAAGAUGCAGCUACCCAACAAGCUCGAAUUAAGUUGGAAACAUUGUUAGGAGAAAAUGCAAACCCGUCUGAUGCACCUGGUCUGCCAAGGUCAUAGAUUCGCAGUGUUCUGGGGCUGAGCGGGAGCUGCUGGUGUCCAGCAUCUCAAGAGAGUUUUGUACCACAUAGCUCUAGUUUGGAAAAAGAUCAACAUUCAAAAUCCUGGGUGUGAUUUCCACUGAAACGGUACCACUGUGGCUCCACUGUAGUGUUGAAAAAUGGCACUGAGUUGGCGGUUACAAAGGAUACAGGAUACUCCUUUAGAUCUGUGAUGAUAAAUCUCCUCUAAAUCUUCUCCAGGAGACGCCUUCAUCUCUUCAUUCCGUGGCUGUCGGGGGCCCGAUGCGGCAGGCCUGUGAGGACAGAGGGUUACUCACGUCCCCAAGCUCGCUUACAGUGACCCAUGGCGGACCCUGGAAUCCUGCGGAAGUCCUUGCUCUUGAGGAGACCUUGGGUUCCUGCCCCGGGACCCAGGGUCUGCUCCUGAGAGGUCUGUCUGUCCCUGGGGAAGUGGGCGAAGGGCCAGGGGGGACACACAAGGCUGUCCCAGCGGGGUGUCAACACCCAGCUGCUCCUGCUCUCCAUCUCAGGACUCCUCGCUGGGUCCCGAGGCGAUGAGGUGCACAAAACAGACUCUGGCGGCAGCCGGAGCCUGUGCAGGAACUUGGAGUGCAGGAGGCAGGAAGCGGACUGGGGGUCCUCUCAGCAGGAGCUAUGACCCCCGUGCCAGCCUGAGAGGGUUAGGGCUGUCCCGGCCCUGGACCAGGAGAGCCCCCCCAGCCCGCACACUGGAGUUCAGUGGUGACGGCUCCUUGUCGCCUGGCGCUUUCACUGUGGGGCUUGCGGUCCAGCCACGUCUAGGACGCUACAUCUGCACCACCGUCACCCGUGUGACAGGUUUGCCAGGGCCGAUAUUGGUCGGCAACCCCCUCCUCCUGUCCUUCUCGGCGCCUGCCCUUCAGAGGCUGACUUCCGGUCCUGAGCAGGCCCUGAAUCUAUCACAGCAGCAGCGGACUGCGCUGGACACUGGGCUAGGGGUUGAUCAACAUCACCUCACUUGUGGAAAUGGGCGCAAUGCUCUUUUGUUUCUUUGCAUGUCAUUUUGUUUUCCCAGAAGUGGAAAUGGUGGCUCAGAAAGGUUGAUAAUUUAUCCAAGGUCACACAGCGACAUAUGGUGAGACCAGGAUUCUGACCUAAGCGUUCUGCUUUUGGAGCCUGUGCCAUUAAAUCUUGCCGCGAUUUGCAGCAGGUGCGCAUUAGACUUCCAGGCUGGGUGGAUUUGGAUAAGAAUGUGUUCCUCAUUAGCGAGGUUGAAUAAUGUCAGACGUGGUGGAGCAGCUUGAAACGCCCAGCUGAACUGAGUCGUGGUGGUUUGGGUGUGGAAGGCCCACCUGAGAAUUGCUGCCAAUGACGCAAAAGAAGACCUGGAGGGGAGGAGUGUGUGUUGUCGAUUUUCCCGGAGAAGCUCACCACAACUGGUUUUCCUGAUACAAACUCAGCCGUUCUCUUUGACUGAGGAGUUUGGAUCUUUGCUGUCACAGGGAAUAGCUGCUGCUUUCUUUGCGGGAGCUUUAAUCUUCACGGUGAGCAUCGCUUCCUGGCUCCAGUACAGAUCCCUCAUCCCGGUGGCCCAAACCCUUCACCCAACUGGUGCAGACUUUCUGGCUUCCUCCACGGGCCUUUGGGCCUUCUCAGUGCAGAUCCUCCGUAUGGACUUGCAUGAGGACAUUGCUGUGGGCUCCAGGCCUCUGGCUGGACUCGUGGAGGACAUCGUCUUGGGCUCUAGGUCUUCAGCUGGACUUCUGCAGGACAUUGCUGUGGGCUCCAGGCCCUCAGCUAGAUUCUUCCGGUCUCUAAUGUGUGAAGAGAUCUCUUGCUCUCCUUUGCAUUUGACUUUUGGGGUGGCUAUUAUAAAAUAGUCCCAUAAAUGAUGUGUCCUAGAUUAAAUCUAUUCCCUUGCAAACCCUGACUACGAAAGCAGAUUUAAAACAGCUUUGUGAAUUUACCUGGAGCAGGCUGUC